This 464-nucleotide ribosomal RNA is filed under the name uncultured bacterium. RNAcentral's name for it is "partial 16S ribosomal RNA". It matches the Rfam family "Bacterial small subunit ribosomal RNA", at positions 32 to 507 of the family's 1533-position model. The record is from RNAcentral.
AACGCUGGCGGCGUGCUUAACACAUGCAAGUCGAACGGAAAGGCCCUGCCUUUGUGGGGUGCUCGAGCGGCGAACGGGUGAGUAACACGUGAGUAACCUGCCCUUGACUUUGGGAUAACUUCAGGAAACUGGGGCUAAUACCGGAUAGGAGCUCCUGCUGCAUGGUGGGGGUUGGAAAGUUUCGGCGGUUGGGGAUGGACUCGCGGCUUAUCAGCUUGUUGGUGGGGUAGUGGCUUACCAAGGCUUUGACGGGUAGCCGGCCUGAGAGGGUGACCGGCCACAUUGGGACUGAGAUACGGCCCAGACUCCUACGGGAGGCAGCAGUGGGGAAUAUUGCACAAUGGGCGGAAGCCUGAUGCAGCAACGCCGCGUGCGGGAUGACGGCCUUCGGGUUGUAAACCGCUUUCGCCUGUGACGAAGCGUGAGUGACGGUAAUGGGUAAAGAAGCACCGGCUAACUACGUG